UCCCGACGACCCGAGUAGCAUUCGACAUUAUUGGGUCUAAAACAUCCGUAGCUGGUUUCGUAAGUUUUGUGUUAAAUUAUUGGACUCAAUCCAAUAUCUGCGCAAAAUACUGCGAGGCUGGAGACUGGGAGAUGUAACAAGUACGUUCGAGGUAAUGGUAAAAUAUUCUAAUCUCGUGCGGACUAACAAUCGGCGAAGGCAUGUUACAAGAACAGUUCUGACGGUGAGGGAUGAAAGCCAGGGGCGCAAAACG
RNAcentral lists this ribosomal RNA (253 nucleotides) under uncultured archaeon. RNAcentral describes it as "partial 16S ribosomal RNA". It matches the Rfam family "Archaeal small subunit ribosomal RNA", at positions 474 to 726 of the family's 1478-position model. The record is from RNAcentral.